RNAcentral lists this ribosomal RNA (461 nucleotides) under uncultured bacterium. RNAcentral describes it as "partial 16S ribosomal RNA". It matches the Rfam family "Bacterial small subunit ribosomal RNA", at positions 339 to 795 of the family's 1533-position model. The record is from RNAcentral.
CUACGGGUCGCACCAGUCGAGAAUCUUCCGCAAUGGACGAAAGUCUGACGGCGCGACGCCGCGUGCGGGAUGAAGGCCUUCGGGUUGUAAACCGCUGUCAGUGGGGAGGAAAUGCAUCAGGGUUCUCCCUGGUGUUUGACCGAUCCGCAGAGGAAGCGCAGGCUAAGUUCGUGCCAGCAGCCGCGGUAACACGAACUGCGCGAACGUUAUUCGGAAUCACUGGGCUUAAAGAGUUCGUAGGCGGCCUUUCAAGUCGGGUGUGAAAUCCCUCGGCUCAACCGAGGAAUUGCGCCUGAUACUGUUGGGCUUGAGGGGGAUAGGGGUGAGCGGAACUGAUGGUGGAGCGGUGAAAUGCGUUGAUAUCAUCAGGAACACCGGUGGCGAAGGCGGCUCACUGGAUCUCUUCUGACGCUGAGGAACGAAAGCUAGGGGAGCGAACGGGAUUAGAUACCCCAGUAGUC